Molecule: long non-coding RNA, 2763 nt
Organism: Aquila chrysaetos chrysaetos
Lineage: Eukaryota; Metazoa; Chordata; Aves; Accipitriformes; Accipitridae
Exons: 2
Source: RefSeq, a predicted model, not a curated record
CCCGCCGGGGGAAGCGGGAGGUGCCCUCCUGAGGAGGGGGGGGGGGGGGGGGCUCGGCGGCUGCCGCGUCCUCCUCCACCCGUUCUUCCCUCAGGGCCGCGGUCACAGGCGACCCCUCCGGCAGCGGGGGCCGCCUCUCCUUCCCCGCCCGGGACGGGACCGCGGCUCGCCGCCGAGGGCCCGGGGGACACCGGCCUGAGGGGCCGGGACGGCCCCACUGCCGCGGGGCGCCUGCCGGCCUCCUCCGUCAACGGCACCGGGGAGAAGGCGGGCCGCAGAGCCGGGUCCUGACCGUCUCCUCACCGAAACAGCGGCUUCCCGGCGGGCAGAGGGAACGGAGCGGCCCGGCCCGGCCCGGCCCGGCCCGGCCCGGCGUUGUUGUCCCCGCUUGUAGGUUAUAAACGGACUCGGUCUGCCUCACGUCCCUGCAGCCAUCUGUACCUCAGCACAGUGCUUCUCCUCUGGUAACGCAGCCUCUCGCAACUCCAUGUACCCAGCGGGAAUCAUGGCGUGAGGCACAUAGAGCAUCCCAACAAAGCCGCCGCUGGGAUCAGAAUCCCUGAGCGGGCUUCUUUGUUCCAGUUACAAGGGGCAUCUUUCAUCACUGUGGCAUGCUGCCAGCCUCUUCACAAAAGAUAUAGUUCCUUCUCAACUUAAAAUAUCUGGUAAAUCAAGGAUAAAAAAAGAAAUAGAGGAAAGAUUAAUCAAUAUGCCACCUAACUCUCACAGCACAUCACCUUUCUGUGCAAAACGUUUGCAACCAUGAGAAUUUACCUACCAAGGACAGGCAAAGCAGCAAAGAAAUCGAAGGGCAAAAAAUAACUAAAAAGAAGCCUCUCGAUCUUUACAGAUGCUGGUCUCAGUCAGGCAUAGCUAGCAGUGGUUGCCACAUCGUAAGGGGUUGCCUUCUCUACUAGGUGAGCUUCGAGGUAGGAUGGUUUAAAUAGGCAGAAGCUCCCACGGGAUGAAGAUGUAUUGAGUUUUGGGAAGACCUACUGCAUAAGAAAUGGACCCCAGUACCUUGAAGGUCUGUGGAAAAUGGCCCUAAAUCUGUAUCGAAACCACUCUACCAUACAGAGUUGGCUGGCAUACACGAUGGGGAAUUUGGGUGUUGCUUCAAAGAUCAUAAAUAAUGCUAAACUGCUGAACCUCACUGUACUUUGGUGUCCUUACAUAUAAUAUGGAAACUGAUACUUUCCAGCUACAACUUCACAAAAAGUUGCAAAUAGAAAUUUUGUUGACAAAUCACUUUGCGCUUCAUAAAUGCAAAGUAGCAUAGCACACUCACUUCACUGAGUGCAUCAUAGUCCACCUGGAGAUGUUCACUUUGUGACAGAACUGCUGCAGACAUGUUAUUGGCCUGUGAGAAGCUUUUACUCUGUGGAUUUUAUCACUCUGGGAGAAGGCUGGCCCAAGAGCUUUUGUGAAUGAAAUCAUCUGGUAAGGGCGAUGCCGACUGCUGGUGUUCCUGCAUGCUUUUCCCAUUUUAAGCCCAUGACAUGGAGCUGGUUAUUUUUAUGAACGUGAUUUUCCCCAUCAGCUUACUCUUUUGCCUCUCCACAAAUUAUUUUCUGUUGUGGUCAGUGGUUUUGCACCCAUAGGAAUUCCCUGGAGAACAGAAAAUCAAUUCACAUAUGUUGUUAGCUAGUAGACAAACUAAAGUUGAGUUUGCUUUGGGUUCAAGCUGUCAGAUCAAAGUCAAGGAAAGUGCUCCAAAAAAGGACCAAAAAAGAAUGGCAGCUCCUGGUUUCACGGUUACUUUUUCUUCAGAAAUGAAUCCUCGGGUGAACUGUUUACUGUACGCUAAAAGUAUUGUCGAUUGUAAGCCGUCAGCCCUGUCGGCCUGCAAGCCCAAGCGGCAGCUAAAUGCAUUCGCUCCUUCUCAUGCGCUGCACUUGCUUUCACCUCCGUGCCCUCAGUGUUCUCAAAGAGUGCUCCAGGUAACACGCCAUCUGGCUUGCAUCUAUGCAGGGCUACUCUGUCACAUAAACUUGACUACUCGAGCUCCUCAAAGACAUUUAAUUACCCAACCCACACUUACCACAACAAGCCUGAGAUGUAUCCCUGUGGAAGGCAGAUCCCUGAGCAUUAGCGACCAGGCAUUUCAGUGAUGCUUAAUGGUAUGGAAGAAGCUAAAAACAUCUUUGCCCCUGCAUAGACUGUGAGCAUCAGAGGACCUGCCUGCAGUAUCUGUCUCCAGUCACAAGUUGAUAUAAUCAUACACUGCGGUCUAAUGGGAAGUCGCGGGGAGAAAGUGGACUGCAAAAGUGUCUAAGGAAACCGGGUGUGCAGGAUAAUCUCAGUAACUGAGAAAGAACCUGAGUCCUGCUCAGCAGGCUUAAGAGUAGGGCCCGCAGGAAAGCUAAGUGUGCAGUCCGGAGGUGAACGUGAGUUGGUUGUGUUUCUGAAAGCUCACGUUCAUUAGUAACCAGCUGACAAGUAGCAGGUUAGCCCUGAGUUCUGAGAAAGGAAACAUCUUGUUCAGCUGUGCAGAACUCACCUUUGUCAUUUUGUUAUGCAACGCCUGUCUUUGUCAUAGCGCUGAUGUGCACUAAAUUGCGUAUUAUCGGGCCCUGAGUCACGGCAGUAUGAUUCCCUGGGGUCUGUUGUAAUGGCUCCAUGGCUUGAAUGAUGUACCGAAAACCAGGAGUUGGUAUUUUUCAAAUUACAAUGUGCUCACUUUUCUAGUAUUUAUAGCAAUGUACUUUCAAAGAGCUCAGUAUGCAUAAUAAUUAUUUCAAUGUAAUAAAUAAAGCAAAGGCA